GGGACCUGUACUCGUUGCGGUGCAACGAUGGUGAAAGG
Molecule: regulatory RNA element, 38 nt
Organism: Clostridium sp. FS41
Lineage: Bacteria; Bacillati; Bacillota; Clostridia; Eubacteriales; Clostridiaceae
Rfam family: Selenocysteine insertion sequence 4
Source: Rfam